CGGGAGCCCUCGGACCACAACGGGCGGGUGGCCACCCACAGCCUGAUCACCGGCCUGCAGGAAUACAUCCGCGAGAGCUUCGCCUCAGUGCGGGUGCAGGACGGGGUUGACAUCACCCGGACCAACCUGGAGUUCCUGCAGGAGCAUUUCAGCCGCAUCGCCACCCACAUCCUGCGCU
Terrapene triunguis (Three-toed box turtle) is the source of this 178-nucleotide long non-coding RNA. RefSeq lists it as uncharacterized. The transcript has 3 exons. The record is from RefSeq and is a predicted model, not a curated record. NCBI's taxonomy places the organism in Eukaryota, Metazoa, Chordata, Testudines, Emydidae.